CCUACGGGUCGCACCAGUGGGGGAUAUUGGACAAUGGGCGGAAGCCUGAUCCAGCAACGCCGCGUGAGGGAUGACGGCCUUCGGGUUGUAAACCUCUUUCAUCACCGACGAAGCCUUUGGGUGACGGUAGGUGGAGAAGAAGCACCGGCCAACUACGUGCCAGCAGCCGCGGUAAUACGUAGGGUGCGAGCGUUGUCCGGAAUUAUUGGGCGUAAAGGGCUCGUAGGCGGUUUGUCGCGUCGGGAGUGAAAACACCGGGCUUAACUCGGUGCUUGCUUUCGAUGCGGGCAGACUAGAGGUAUGCAGGGGAGAACGGAAUUCCUGGUGUAGCGGUGAAAUGCGCAGAUAUCAGGAGGAACACCGGUGGCGAAGGCGGUUCUCUGGGCAUGUCCUGACGCUGAGGAGCGAAAGUGUGGGGAGCGAACAGGAUUAGAUACCCGGGUAGUC
This 447-nucleotide ribosomal RNA is filed under the name uncultured bacterium. RNAcentral describes it as "bacterial SSU rRNA". It matches the Rfam family "Bacterial small subunit ribosomal RNA", at positions 338 to 795 of the family's 1533-position model. The record is from RNAcentral.